CAGUCGCCGCGGUAAUACAGAGGGUGCGAGCGUUAAUCGGAUUUACUGGGCGUAAAGCGUGCGUAGGCGGCUAAUUGAGUCGGAUGUGAAAUCCCCGAGCUUAACUUGGGAAUUGCAUUCGAUACUGGUUAGCUAGAGUGUGGGAGAGGAUGGUAGAAUUCCAGGUGUAGCGGUGAAAUGCGUAGAGAUCUGGAGGAAUACCGAUGGCGAAGGCAGCCAUCUGGCCUAAUACUGACGCUGAGGUACGAAAGCAUGGGGAGCAAACAGGAUUAGAGACCCGUGAGUCCCUGUCUCUUAUACC
RNAcentral lists this ribosomal RNA (301 nucleotides) under uncultured bacterium. Its description in RNAcentral is "partial 16S ribosomal RNA". It matches the Rfam family "Bacterial small subunit ribosomal RNA", at positions 509 to 808 of the family's 1533-position model. The record is from RNAcentral.